RNAcentral lists this ribosomal RNA (427 nucleotides) under uncultured bacterium. Its description in RNAcentral is "partial 16S ribosomal RNA". It matches the Rfam family "Bacterial small subunit ribosomal RNA", at positions 355 to 774 of the family's 1533-position model. The record is from RNAcentral.
UGGGGAAUAUUGCACAAUGGGCGCAAGCCUGAUGCAGCCAUGCCGCGUGUGUGAAGAAGGCCUUCGGGUUGUAAAGCACUUUCAGCGAGGAGGAAGGGUAGUGUGUUAAUAGCACAUUGCAUUGACGUUACUCGCAGAAGAAGCACCGGCUAACUCCGUGCCAGCAGCCGCGGUAAUACGGAGGGUGCAAGCGUUAAUCGGAAUUACUGGGCGUAAAGCGCACGCAGGCGGUUUGUUAAGUCAGAUGUGAAAUCCCCGCGCUUAACGUGGGAACUGCAUUUGAAACUGGCAAGCUAGAGUCUUGUAGAGGGGGGUAGAAUUCCAGGUGUAGCGGUGAAAUGCGUAGAGAUCUGGAGGAAUACCGGUGGCGAAGGCGGCCCCCUGGACAAAGACUGACGCUCAGGUGCGAGAGCGUGGGGAGCAAACA